UAGAAGGCCAAUGGCCCACAGCGUGCAGGGUGCAGUUUAUUAAGACAUAUUAGUCAUGUCAGUAAGUGUGAACUUUAUCCCAGUUGCCUGUGAGAAGAGACACUGGAAGCUUUCAGCCAUGGAAAUGACACGAUGCAGUUGGCAUUUUGUAAAUAUCACUCUGGUAACAGUUGGAAAAAGAAGCUUAACCCCCGACACGAAGUGACUAGUUAUUGAGCUGUUCCAGUAAUCCAAGUAAGAGAUGAUGGAGUGAUAAGAAAGAAGAAAACAGAAAGGAGGAAAAAACCUUGAGGGAGUGGAAUUGCUAAGUCCCAGUACUGUGGAUAAAGACAUUCUCCAGAGGUAAAUGUUCCUAACCCACCUGAUGGUUCCGAUGGAAACAAACCUACUAGCAGAGGUGCAAUUGUUUCAACCCGAAGGCUCUACCCUGGGUACCAAGCUCCCUUCUAGUUCCUAUCGUUAAAGACCUGAAGAGAAAUCCUGCAGAGGGGUGACGUGUUUUUGCUUGUGCAUGUCUGAGCUCUAGAGUAUAUAGAAAUUUCUAGAACCAUGUUUCCAGUGCAGCUAAGCUGAUGACGUGAGACAAGAAGAGGUGUAGGGAACUACCUGGCCUUUUGUUUCCUGUGGAUCUCUAAGCACCCAGAGGGGCCUGGGAGCUAUCUGAGGGCCUGAAAGACUGAAAGGGCUUCCCUGAGUCUCUUGUUCUUCUUCAGCCCCAACUCCAUUAAAAGUCUAUUGGGAAGAAUCCAGCCUGAGCUGAACAGUAGGAAACACCAGUUCCUUGAGAAAAGGACAGAUGUGAGCUAACAGCCUCUGAGUACCCUUCCCAUGGCACUGGCUACACACUCGGCAUGUCCAGAACCAGGGCUCAGAAGGCAAUUGAGAAGAGCAAAAUCUAUCCAUGACAACCUGAAGGUGGCAAUAUUCACAUUUACUUGAAAACUGCUGGAGAAUGAGCUAC
This 961-nucleotide long non-coding RNA is filed under the name Cricetulus griseus (Chinese hamster). RNAcentral describes it as "lncRNA (ENSCGRG00015032332.1)". Lineage: Eukaryota; Metazoa; Chordata; Mammalia; Rodentia; Cricetidae. The record is from RNAcentral.